Molecule: long non-coding RNA, 2869 nt
Organism: Glossina fuscipes
Lineage: Eukaryota; Metazoa; Arthropoda; Insecta; Diptera; Glossinidae
Exons: 2
Source: RefSeq, a predicted model, not a curated record
AAGGAAACGCCAAGAACAAAUGUACGUUUCUCGAGAGACGGUAAGGACAACAGAAGCAACCUAUUUUCAUAGGGGAGAAGAGAGGCCCCAACCCAAAUUACUAAGGGCAAACAGCAAGAAUUGCUUUUGAACAGAUUCAGUUGAAUGUACAUAGUACCUAGACGAAGGAGACCAACUCGAGUAUAGCUCUAACCAAACACAUGUACAGCCUUUUCGUAAUGUAAGGAUCAUUAAGGUCUCUGGACCACCGCUUUAUAAAACCAAGCGCGGACCUAUCUUCCUAGAACCUGCAGAUGAAUCACUCUUCGCUGUUACGGAAUUGGGAGUUGCUUUUCCAGAGCCUCUUCCAUAAUAACUACUUUAAGCUGCUUGGAUAUGAAGUGGUAACAAAUUCCAUAAUUUUACAGCCUGAACAAAGGAUAGCCCUGUUGACAUGUUUAGUUUGGUGUAGUUUAGAUUAUCACUUAAUAAUAACUUUUCUUUGGCGCAAAAAUCCACGUACCGAAAAACGUAAAAGAUAGCUGUCUGCUGCUAGUUACUUAUGUAAACAAAGUUUAGGAAAAAUGGUGAGCCGAGAAUGACGAAGCUGAACAAAUGAAAAUAUAAGAAUUAACAUAAUAUUUAGUGUUAAAUGGGAAUAAGUGGGAGAAAAAACAGAGUAAGUUGGGAAAAACAUACCACCACUUAUUUUUAAAUGAGAAUAAUUGGUGGGCGAAAACAUAUAACUUACUGUUAAAUGACUCUUUUUAGAGGUAAUAGACGGAAUCAUAAUUAUUGUCCCAUUAAAGCUACAUUCACUUUGCCACAUUUUUACACAAAUUAUAAAUACGUUCAAGAUCUUUGGAAUAAUGGAAAUAACAAGUUGCGGAUUGACACUACGUUAACUAAUGACUUUUUCUUGGCACGACUGAUUGAUAGAGAAAACGUCGUCCUCAUUCACGAGAAUGGCACAUUUCCUCGGUAAAUGUUUACCUGUUAUCAACCUCGCAGGUUCGUUUAAAUCUUUUCGUGUAAAUAAACUUUUUUUUUUAGUAUGCAACGUCUUCAUUUUUUCAAAUUAUAUUGAUUUUUAAAAUAAUAAUUAAAAAUUAUAAUAAUCUCCGUUGCAAAUUUUUCAAACUUUCAAAUAUUUAUUUCUCGCGUUAAUGGGAAGAACACUUUCAGUGUAUUUCGGAGAUUUGCGAAGUUGCAAAAUUUGUAUUUCAUUUUAUUGUCAGAAUUUCCAAUUUUUAGUUUAUAGACAGGAUUAGGAGCGAUGAAAGCUCGAAAGGUUAAAAUAAUUCCCAUGCUUUCCAAUAAUUCAUCAUCGUCAAUAUUUGUAUUAUCAUCGGAGAUUUUAUCAAAAAAAAAGAUUUUCUUUAAACACCUUUAAAUUUUUAUUGGUUUUAACAGAAAAUGACGGAGUUUCUUGAUUUGGGUGAUGAUUUAACAUAAAAUUUCUGAUGGUUUAAAACUGAAUAUAUUCCACUAUUGGUAUCUUCAGAGCUAAGUGCAUUUUUUUACUUUCUAUUACUUCUUUAAAGAAACAAUGGGAUUUGGCGGAAUUUGUUAGAAUUGAACUUUUCAAUAUAAAGACUUCGAACGUUUCAAUUAUUCAUAUUGCAAAAACCUAGGUUUUUUGUCAUUUAACGUACUUAUAGCAAAAUAGUAGUAUUCUAAAAAUAAAGUAUCAUGUCUUGUGAAUAGAAAGAGAACAAAGUUGCUUUCAGUAAAUUGUGAAAAAGCACCGUACCCGUUCAGUUAAAUGAGUCAAUGGUGCAAAAACAUCAUAGAAGUUAUUAGAAGUUAAAUUACCUGCUAAAGAUGUUCAAAUAUAUUUAAGUAUUUUCAGCUUUAAACCGCAAAUACCCAAUUAAAACUGUUCAACAAUGGUGAAAGAGAUUGGCAACUGAUAGGAUCUAGAGAGCAUAGACGAAUACUUUCAAGUGGAACGCUAGUUACCUAUCCUAUUGGGUAAGGAGCAAUUUUCGGGAUUAUAUUUAAGUGCAGGUGUGUAGCCAGUUUCGCCAGUAUUUUGUAAAAGUCUGUAACUGCUCAAGGCGAUCUUUUGCUAGGAGCGUUAGGUGCGAUAAUGGCGAUUUUAGCUUACGUAUGUGCUUCUGAUAUCCUACUGAGCAUAUUAUUCCUUUCGGCUGGCGCAGCCAUUAAAGUUAUAAUGGGCAUAGACUUCGCCGGAUGUAUUUUCGGAUUUUUCAAUCAAUGGUGGUGGUCUUCUUGAGCCCGUAUGUUAUACUUUUAUACGUAUUUCGAUUCGUACUUCGCAAUGGAAGUGAGUGUGUUUUAAUUUUAGACCGAUGUCAAAUGUAAUACCGGCACUACAUUCGACGGCACCAAAGGUUUCAGUUAUCAAGAUUCUAUUACAACCACAACAUAAAGCUCAUCCGAGAAGAAAUUGGAAAUGAUAAAGAAGACACGACAACGUUAUCAAAUUAAGGUACGUGUAGCAUAAACUUGAGCGUAUUUUUUUUUCAAUUCAAUUCGCCAUAUUGAUAUGAUAUUCAAAGUUAUUUAUGAGACUUUUUUUUCUAAAAAUUGAAUAAAAAAUAAUAUACUUUAUAUCAACUAAUUUCUCCUCGUUUAAGAAAUAUAUGGAGUUAUAUAAUGUAGCGUUCAAAAAGCGAUAUUGUCUUACUUCCUACUUGUUCUAUAUCUUGAGAAAAGAAUUCAUAUGCAAUAUUUUUCCCAGACUUUCCUCUUAAGAGACGUAGACAAUAUAAAAAAAUUGCAUACUCAUGUCGAUUUAGCACGAAAAAGUUUACGAAUAUACGAUAUUAGAAAAAAAACCUGAUAAGCCUUGAUUUCACUUUGUACAGUGAUAUUUAAUCCGCAAGUCUUCGGCAUACUUUUAAAGCCAGAAAGUACAUUUUGA